RNAcentral lists this small nuclear RNA (164 nucleotides) under Dasypus novemcinctus (nine-banded armadillo). RNAcentral's name for it is "U1 spliceosomal RNA (ENSDNOG00000033118.1)". It matches the Rfam family "U1 spliceosomal RNA". From Rfam's summary of the family: U1 is a small nuclear RNA (snRNA) component of the spliceosome (involved in pre-mRNA splicing). The record is from RNAcentral. Lineage: Eukaryota; Metazoa; Chordata; Mammalia; Cingulata; Dasypodidae.
AUACUCACUUGGCAAGGGAGAUACCAUGAUCACUGAGGUGGUUUUGCCAGAGCUAGACUUGUCCAUUGCACUCCAGAUGUCCUGACCCCUGCAAUUUCCCAAAGUGAGGGAAACUCGAUUGUAUAAUUUGUGGUAGUAGGGGACUGCAUUCACACUCUCCCUGG